Non-coding RNA from Maylandia zebra (zebra mbuna), 1235 nucleotides. Lineage: Eukaryota; Metazoa; Chordata; Actinopteri; Cichliformes; Cichlidae. The record is from RefSeq and is a predicted model, not a curated record.
UUUCCUUUUAUGGAGUUGUUUUUCUGCUAAUGCAGCACUUUCCUCACAACCCCCUCCUGUAAGUUUUAGAGAAUAUAUACCCAUCCUCACAGCAAAUAUUGGGAAUCUCUUGAUGUGAGCUGUGUUGAGAAGUUGUCUCUGUCUCAAUAAAAGUUCACUGAUUCCCCAUCUGCUGCAGGUGUCCGGUUGUCUUCAUUCUCCGCCAGCCUGGAUCCGCUCCAGGCCAAACUGGAACGGGGGGGAGGACAUCAGCCGUGGUCUGAGUGAACGGAGUUUGGACAAAAGCUGUGUGCACACAAAAACAAGGUAAGCAGACCUUUUAUUUCUGCUAUAUUGAACAUUAUAAAAAUACUUAGUGUCCAAACUCCUAGUAAUUCAUAACCAAAAUUGUCUGGCUUACUUAAGGCUUGCUGAGAAUCAGACAAGUGAAUAAGAGAUAAGUGAAUAAGAAAUAAGUGAAUAAGUGAAUAAAGAUAAGAGUGAACUGAGGUCUGACCACGGUUGCAGCCGACGGGUUGCUCUCCGGUGUCGGAUAAAUACCUCAGUGCAGGUCUGGGACCUUGAAAGGGUUUAUUAGUAACGCCUUUCUAAACAAAUUAAAAGGUUAAAGGCCUUGAGAAUAUUUUUUAGUAAUAUUCUCUAAACUACAGAAGGGUUAGGAAGGCCCAGAGGACUUUAUUAGAAAAGAUCCUCUAAAACUUAAAAAGGAGAAGUACUGGUUGGAGUCCAAAGGAGGGGUCCCUUUGAUCAAUAGGAGAAAACGGAUCUCUUCUUAAAACCCCGAUGAUUUUAGUGUUUUAAAUGUUUUGAUGUUCUGUUUGAUAUUGGACACACAUAAAUACACGCUGAAUGCUUGCUGUGGAACACUGGGCAGGACAGUUUGUUCUCCGUUGUUCACAGAUUACACAAUUAAAGGAACUAGGUUCCUCUUUUGGUUAAAAUAAUACACCACACAUAGAAUUUUUUUACACAUUUAUUACAUACAUAAGGAGGGUAAUGAGUGACUGCAGGUAAUGUAUGAAGUGUGAAUGAGACGUGUGAACAAGGUGACAACCAACUAGCACCCCUAUCAGGAAGCUCUAGGCAAGGUUACCCGCCAGACUCCGGUUUGGUAGAAGCUUGGUAACACCUGAAGGGAUAUUUCAGUGCUGACUCACCUUUAAAGCAGCGCCCCAGCUGAUUAGUGCCUAACAGAGGCAGAAACCCAGCUGGCCCAAAUUCUCCUUUAAAAUCAA